GGGAGAUGUCAAUCAAAGAGCCCACUCUGCCAUUCUCCUCUUCCACAGGUGGUUCAUUUCCUGCAGGGUCCGGAAACCAGGUGAGGAGACGAUUUCCAGCAUCCGCAGUAUUUUUCCCUGAUCUCAGUCUGUGCUACCUGCCUCAGAAUUUAACCUUUUAAGCCCCAGGAACAUUCUGGUGAAUCUACGCUGCACUCCCUGCAAGGCCAACAUAUCCUUCCUGAGGUGCAGUGCCCAGAACUGAACACAGUUCUCCAGAUAAGGUCUAAAGAGAGCUCUGUACAACUGGAACAUAACUUCCACAAGGAUACAGUUGGUUCUGGGGAGGAGAAGUUGUGGGUUAUCUGUUCUCUUCAGGAUGCUCCUGGAGUAAUGUGCAGUUUUGACAGAGGAAAGCAGGACCACUAGUGCUUGAUGUGGUCCAGUCAGAUCUGGCGAUGGAUGUUUAAACCGGUUGUGUACCAGAUAUGCUCAAAUCUUCACCCCUUGGAGUUGAGAAGCAGGGAGAUCGCCCAGGAAAGAAGAGAGUAAAGCUGAACUCAAUCUGCCUGAUUUGUCAGCAUGGUGUUUUCCUAUUUACUGAAACACUCUGGAGCCUACAGUAA
Carcharodon carcharias (great white shark) is the source of this 605-nucleotide long non-coding RNA. RefSeq lists it as uncharacterized. NCBI's taxonomy places the organism in Eukaryota, Metazoa, Chordata, Chondrichthyes, Lamniformes, Lamnidae. The record is from RefSeq and is a predicted model, not a curated record. The transcript has 3 exons.